Molecule: long non-coding RNA, 1474 nt
Organism: Linepithema humile (Argentine ant)
Lineage: Eukaryota; Metazoa; Arthropoda; Insecta; Hymenoptera; Formicidae
Source: RefSeq, a predicted model, not a curated record
UGAAAAUACGCGCGGCACCUUCGCGCGAAAGCUCCUUUAUUGUCUCUCGCAACGUCUAUAACAACAAUCGCGGGGCGUCGUAAGAACCGCGGCGGCAUCCGCGCGACGCGGAAGGAUGUGCUGCAUUCACACGCAAAACCGCGGAUAAAACCAACAGUUUUAAUAUCCAAGAUGGUGAAUGCUUUGGAGGCCGCGGCGAAGAAUGAGGGACGGAGCCUGGUUGCAUUUUAAUCCUUCCUAUAUCAGUGCGGUCUACGAAGAUAUGCAUCCAGCCUUCGUAGCCGAGGGGCGAAUCCCGGAUCUCUCCGUGGAUUGUGAGGGGCCGCCACGAGAACGGAACGAUCGAGCGGCGAGGGGGCAACCGGGGUACAGGAUCGAAGAUAGAACGGGGUAAAGAUAGAAGAAGAGCGAGUUUCGCAUUAGGAGUAAUAGGCAUUAUCUCCAUCGAUCCCGACUCACUACUCCGCUUCUACCACCUCGCCCAUCACCCACCAUCUCCCUAGAGCUGGGUGGGUGAUUGGUUCGUUCGAGCUAACCAGAGAAAAAACGCAUGGGAAUUCUGCCGGCUAUGGGCACGGCGGACGGCAUUCUGAUCGCGAAAUGCGGGCAGCGGACUUGGGGAGAAUCAAGAAAGACCUACGUGACGUAUAUUGUUGGUACAUUUGACGCAGACGUACUGAGUUAGGAUACAACGAACGGUUUAGAAAAAUGGAAGGAUCACGAGCCGAGUGAGAUUCGAUUUGCAAUAUGAAUCAAAGCAUCCUGGCGUUAUUAUUACUGUACAUCACUUGGUCACUCGGGCAGUCGAUUUCGAAGGCACGUCGAACGAAACGAUUUACGGAUAGAGGGUAGGGUACGAGGAAGUGCUCUAGUCACCCGGCCAACCAGCGCCACGCCAGUUAACCAGCGAGCGAGCGAGCCAGCCAGCCAGCCAGCCAGCCAACCAGCCAGCCAGCUAGCUAGCUAGCCAAGCGCCAACAGUACAUACUAUACCAGUUUGACGCCUGUUAGUCGGUGAAGCAUCUACCAUUAACGGAGGCAAACAUAAGAAGGAACUUACUAGUCAUAGCUCCCGCAUAACAUCCACUAAUGCUGAUACUAGCGCAAUCAUAGUCAACGUGUUUCUUGCUAUAGCGAAAAGGCUCGAGAUCGGGAUGAUUCACAAUUAGGUGCUCUCCUUUAUCGAACAGCGGAAGAGAACGAGAUAUAUUGUUACAGUCACGCUGCCAAAAUUUAUAAAUGUUUUUUUGCGUCAUUAUAGAGAGGAGUUUUAAAACAUUGCGAGGUAACGUUGCACAAAUGUACAAUGAGUGCAAGGAAUAUAUAAUGAGUUUUCUUGGAUUUUAUAAGAGAAGAUCGCACUCAGUUUUCAGACAAGGCACCACGGCACCACUUUGUUCAUUCGGUUGUAAUUAUACUCGUAUAAAAAUGUUUCCCGAAGAUGUCUGUGUAAUAAGUUUGAAAAAAAGAUUUG